GGGGCGGUAGCUCAGCGGUAGAGCACUCGGCUUUUAACCGAUUGGUCGUGGGUUCGAUCCCCACCCGCCCUACCA
RNAcentral lists this transfer RNA (75 nucleotides) under Burkholderiales bacterium. RNAcentral's name for it is "tRNA-Lys". It matches the Rfam family "tRNA". From Rfam's summary of the family: Transfer RNA (tRNA) molecules are approximately 80 nucleotides in length. Lineage: Bacteria; Pseudomonadati; Pseudomonadota; Betaproteobacteria; Burkholderiales. RNAcentral also lists the same sequence under 2 other names. The record is from RNAcentral.